RNAcentral lists this long non-coding RNA (215 nucleotides) under Gallus gallus (chicken). Lineage: Eukaryota; Metazoa; Chordata; Aves; Galliformes; Phasianidae. The record is from RNAcentral.
CAGAAUUUCACUUUUGCUGUAGAGGAAACAAAUGAUGCCCUGAAAAGAAAAAAAAAAAAAAAAAAAAAAAGAAGACUUGAAGAUCAUAAUUAAUGUAGUUACUGGAAACAGAAGAGCUGUAGGAUGCACCUGGCAGUACAUCAAUGAUAUCUUCAGAAGUAGCUGCCAGAACCUUAUCUCAGAUCCAUACAGAGCCUUUUUUAAAGUGUUUUAAA